AGCUUUGCACAAUGGCAGUAUCAUACAUAGCCAAUGAGAUUGAUCCAAGGCUCAAUUAUUGCUAAUUGAAAGCAAUUGGUAGUCUUGUUUUGCUAAAGAUUAAGUCUAGUUUUUUUUUUUCC
Molecule: small nuclear RNA, 122 nt
Filed under: Mus pahari (shrew mouse)
Lineage: Eukaryota; Metazoa; Chordata; Mammalia; Rodentia; Muridae
Description: snRNA (MGP_PahariEiJ_G0033137.1)
Source: RNAcentral